GGAAUCAACGCUGGCGGCGUGCCUAACACAUGCAAGUCGCACGAGAAAGGGGAGCAAUCCCUGAGUACAGUGGCGCACGGGUGAGUAACACGUGAAUAAUCUACCUCCGAGUGGGGAAUAACUGAGAGAAAUCUUAGCUAAUACCGCAUAACACUUACGAGUCAAAGCAGCAAUGCGCUUGGAGAGGAGUUCGCGGCAGAUUAGUUAGUUGGCGGGGUAAUGGCCCACCAAGACGAUGAUCUGUA
RNAcentral lists this ribosomal RNA (245 nucleotides) under uncultured bacterium. Its description in RNAcentral is "partial small subunit ribosomal RNA". It matches the Rfam family "Bacterial small subunit ribosomal RNA", at positions 27 to 285 of the family's 1533-position model. The record is from RNAcentral.